GCCUACGAUACAUGAAGUUUGUUAGUUUCUUAGUUAGUUAAGAGUCACGACCUAUGGAUCAUUUUGCACUAUAAAUUGUAAUGAUGUCGAACGAGUCAUUUUACAUUCACAUCGCAAAUUAAUCUAGGACUGUUUACAAACAACUUGAUUAGAGAAUAAAUACGUUGUGAAGCCGUAGUGAGAGCACAUAACUCCUUCAAUGGAUGCCCACAACAUGAUCAUGGCAACACAGUUACAGAAGAAGUGGACUGUUACACAAGAGAACUCAACAAGAGAAAAGCCUCAAAAAGUGGUUUCCUGCAGAAACCCCAAAAAAAAUAUGUAUAUUUCGAUAUGCUUAAUUUCCUAUCACCUGUAACUGCCACUAAACCACCAGAGUUGGAAGAAGCUGAUGCACAUACUGAUGAGGCAAAUAUCUCUGAUGUACAGGUGGAGUUGCCUCCAAUUCCCGUAAGAGACAAAAGAUGACAGACGAGGAGAAAUUAUUUCAGGUGCUUGCAGCAAACAUCAAGAAAAAAAAAAACGCGUCAAUGGCCGAAGCAGAUGACCCUGACGAACAUUUUCUACUAUCAUUAUUAGAUAAUUUGAAAUCUGUGCCACAGCAUUUGAAAAUGGACGCUAAAUUUGAAAUAAUGUCAGUUUUAAGGAAGUACAGCAGGUCUUAAAGUUCACUAGACAACUAUAAUUUUCAGUUCACUUCACAAAUACCAAUGCCUGUAUACUCAAAUUCACCCAUAGCUGUACCUGCAUAUAAUCCAAGCCCAUGUACAUCAAACCGUGAUGCCACAUUUUCACCUGUAUCAUCUGAUUCAUCAGUGGUCACUGACUUAUUCUCUGGGUAGCGAAAUAUCCCAGGUUUGGCUUACUGUAUUUUAAUAUUACACAUUGGAGCAAAUUAUUAAAUUGGAGCAAUUAAUAUUUAAAAAUAAAGGUAUAUGGAAAAUAAGCAAAUACGUAAAAUAAGGAAAUAUAUAAAAUAAGCAAAUAUGUAAAAUAAGCAAAUAUGUAAAAUGAGGAAAUAUGUAAAAUAAGCAAAUUAUU
Molecule: long non-coding RNA, 1041 nt
Organism: Schistocerca serialis cubense
Lineage: Eukaryota; Metazoa; Arthropoda; Insecta; Orthoptera; Acrididae
Exons: 3
Source: RefSeq, a predicted model, not a curated record